CAGUAGCCGCGGUAAUACGAAGGGGGCUAGCGUUGUUCGGAUUUACUGGGCGUAAAGCGCACGUAGGCGGAUCGAUCAGUCAGGGGUGAAAUCCCAGAGCUCAACUCUGGAACUGCCUUUGAUACUGUCGAUCUGGAGUAUGGAAGAGGUGAGUGGAAUUCCGAGUGUAGAGGUGAAAUUCGUAGAUAUUCGGAAGAACACCAGUGGCGAAGGCGACAUACUGGUCCAUUACUGACGCUGAGGCUCGAAAGCGUGGGGAGCAAACAGGAUUAGAUACCCGUGUAGUCCCUGUCUCUUAUAC
This 301-nucleotide ribosomal RNA is filed under the name uncultured bacterium. RNAcentral's name for it is "partial 16S ribosomal RNA". It matches the Rfam family "Bacterial small subunit ribosomal RNA", at positions 509 to 807 of the family's 1533-position model. The record is from RNAcentral.